CGGACAGUGUCUGGUGGGUAGUUUGACUGGGGCGGUCUCCUCCUAAAGAGUAACGGAGGAGCACGAAGGUUGGCUAAUCCUGGUCGGACAUCAGGAGGUUAGUGCAAUGGCAUAAGCCAGCUUGACUGCGAGCGUGACGGCGCGAGCAGGUGCGAAAGCAGGUCAUAGUGAUCCGGUGGUUCUGAAUGGAAGGGCCAUCGCUCAACGGAUAAAAGGUACUCCGGGGAUAACAGGCUGAUACCGCCCAAGAGUUCAUAUCGACGGCGGUGUUUGGCACCUCGAUGUCGGCUCAUCACAUCCUGGGGCUGAAGUAGGUCCCAAGGGUAUGGCUGUUCGCCAUUUAAAGUGGUACGCGAGCUGGGUUUAGAACGUCGUGAGACAGUUCGGUCCCUAUCUGCCGUGGGCGCUGGAGAACUGAGGGGGGCUGCUCCUAGUACGAGAGGACCGGAGUGGACGCAUCACUGGUGUUCGGGUUGUCAUGCCAAUGGCACUGCCCGGUAGCUAAAUGCGGAAGAGAUAAGUGCUGAAAGCAUCUAAGCACGAAACUUGCCCCGAGAUGAGUUCUCCCUGACCCUUUAAGGGUCCUGAAGGAACGUUGAAGACGACGACGUUGAUAGGCCGGGUGUGUAAGCGCAGCGAUGCGUUGAGCUAACCGGUACUAAUGAACCGUGAGGCUUAACCUUACAACGCCGAAG
RNAcentral lists this ribosomal RNA (695 nucleotides) under Shigella flexneri. Its description in RNAcentral is "partial 23S ribosomal RNA". It matches the Rfam family "Bacterial large subunit ribosomal RNA", at positions 2248 to 2925 of the family's 2925-position model. The record is from RNAcentral. Lineage: Bacteria; Pseudomonadati; Pseudomonadota; Gammaproteobacteria; Enterobacterales; Enterobacteriaceae.